This is a long non-coding RNA of Anoplopoma fimbria (sablefish), 417 nucleotides long. RefSeq lists it as uncharacterized. The transcript has 3 exons. The record is from RefSeq and is a predicted model, not a curated record. Lineage: Eukaryota; Metazoa; Chordata; Actinopteri; Perciformes; Anoplopomatidae.
UACACAAGACUGUGGUGUGUGCUGGAACCUGCUGUUCUCUCUGUGUCCAGCUUUUGUUGUUCUCUCCUCUGUGCUCUCCUCUCUUCUGGUUUAUCACCUUUGUCAGAAAACAGCUAAGGAAGAUAAAACUGAUGCGAAAAGACCCGACGCAAGUGAGAAUAAGGAUGAAGAUGUGUGUUAUGCUGCACUGGAAAUCCGUCAGGCAUCACAGAGACCAAAGAAGCAGAAGAAGAUACAGAGUUCCGACUUCGCCACCUAUUCUGCCAUCAAUACUUGUAAUUUGUGACUUGUCAUUUGCACUUAAACAAAGGAGCAAUCAAUACCAUUGAUAAUGUAUACAGAAUGAAAACAUGUAUGGAAUACAGUUACGGUUUUUUUUUCUUAAAUUUGAAAGCAACAAUGUGUUUGAAAAGUUGA